AUUGAACGCUGGCGGAAUGCUUUACACAUGCAAGUCGAGCGGCAGCGCGGGGGCAACCCUGGCGGCGAGCGGCGAACGGGUGGGUAAUACAUCGGAACGUGUCCUUAAGUGGGGGAUAGCUCGGCGAAAGCCGGAUUAAUACCGCAUAAGCUCUGAGGAGGAAAGCGGGGGCUCCGUAAGGACCUCGCGCUGUUGGAGCGGCCGAUGUCGGAUUAGCUAGUUGGUGGGGUAAAGGCCCACCAAGGCGACGAUCCGUAGCUGGUCUGAGAGGAUGAUCAGCCACACUGGAACUGAGACACGGUCCAGACUCCUACGGGAGGCAGCAGUGGGGAAUAUUGCGCAAUGGGCGUAAGCCUGACGCAGCGACGCCGCGU
RNAcentral lists this ribosomal RNA (374 nucleotides) under uncultured bacterium. RNAcentral describes it as "bacterial SSU rRNA". It matches the Rfam family "Bacterial small subunit ribosomal RNA", at positions 28 to 402 of the family's 1533-position model. The record is from RNAcentral.